This 832-nucleotide ribosomal RNA is filed under the name Allobates chalcopis (Martinique volcano frog). RNAcentral describes it as "partial 16S ribosomal RNA". It matches the Rfam family "Bacterial large subunit ribosomal RNA", at positions 1515 to 2567 of the family's 2925-position model. Lineage: Eukaryota; Metazoa; Chordata; Amphibia; Anura; Aromobatidae. The record is from RNAcentral.
UUUUCAUAAUUCCUUAAACCUCUCUCAACCCUUCAAUACUAAAAAGUAAUUCUAUACUUCUAUAGAAAAUUUUAUGUUAAAACUAGUAACAAGAAGUAGCCCUUCUCUUAAAUGUAUCUGUACAUCAACACGGACGCUCCAUUGAUAAUUAACGCCUGUAAAUCUAUAGUACCCCCCCCCCACGAAAGCCCUACUAUUAUUAACGUUAACCUAACACAAGAACAUUAAAAGAAAGAUUAAAAGAUAAAGAAGGAACUCGGCAAACAUUAGCCUCGCCUGUUUACCAAAAACAUCGCCUCCUGACUAAUCAUAAGAGGUCAAGCCUGCCCAGUGACAUUGUUCAACGGCCGCGGUAUCCUAACCGUGCGAAGGUAGCGUAAUCACUUGUUCUUUAAAUGAGGACUAGUAUGAACGGCUUCACGAAAGCUAUACUGUCUCCUUUAUCCAAUCAGUUAAACUAAUCUCCCCGUGAAGAAGCGGGGAUUAAUCUAUAAGACGAGAAGACCCUAUGGAGCUUUAAACAUCUUAAAACAUUUGAGUUAAAUAUUACUAUUUCCAGUAAAGCUUCACUAAACCAAUCAUUUUGUUUUAAGUUUUAGGUUGGGGUGACCACGGAGAAUAACUUAACCUCCACGUAGAAAGAGAAUUUUUUCUAAGCAAAAAGCCACAUCUUUAUGCAUCAAAAUAUUGACUCAAAUUGACCCAAUUACUUGAUCAACGAACCAAGUUACCCUAGGGAUAACAGCGCAAUCCGCUUUAAGAGCUCCUAUCGACAAGCGGGCUUACGACCUCGAUGUUGGAUCAGGGAAUCCCAGUGGUGCAGCAGCUACUA